Molecule: ribosomal RNA, 477 nt
Filed under: Chelator insignis
Lineage: Eukaryota; Metazoa; Arthropoda; Malacostraca; Isopoda; Desmosomatidae
Description: partial 16S ribosomal RNA
Rfam family: Bacterial large subunit ribosomal RNA
Source: RNAcentral
UUGGAUACUGAGUUGUCUCUGCUCCAUGGGUUAAAUAGCCGCAGUAUUUUGACUGUGCUAAGGUAGCAUAAUAAUUUGUUCUUUAAUUGAGGGCUGGAAUGAAGGAGCUGACGACACUUAAACUUUUUAGCUAAUUGCUGGAAUUUAAUAUUUGCUUCAAAAAGAGCAAAUAGCUGGGGGGACGAUAAGACCCUGUAAAACUUUAAUUUGUAGUUAUUUUACGUUAUUUGGGAUAAAGUAAAAUAUUUGAAUUAAGCUGGGGCGGCAAUUAAAAUACACUAAGAAAGGUAACAUUACAGGUGAUUUUAAAGAUCUUACUAAAAGGUGGAAUAAGUUACUUCAGGGAUAACAGCACAAUUUUUUCAGAUAGUUCACAUAAAAGGAAAAGACUUGUGACCUCGAUGUUGAAUUGGGGUGUCUUAUUUAAGCAGAAAUAAAUAAAGAGAGUCUGUUCGACUUUUAAUCCCCCACGUGAUC